This 492-nucleotide ribosomal RNA is filed under the name uncultured bacterium. RNAcentral's name for it is "partial 16S ribosomal RNA". It matches the Rfam family "Bacterial small subunit ribosomal RNA", at positions 29 to 507 of the family's 1533-position model. The record is from RNAcentral.
AGUGAACGCUGGCGGUAGGCCUAACACAUGCAAGUCGAACGGCAGCACAGUAAGAGCUUGCUCUUACGGGUGGCGAGUGGCGGACGGGUGGGGAAUACAUCGGAAUCUACUUUUUCGUGGGGGAUAACGCAGGGAAACUUACGCUAAUACCGCAUACGACCUACGGGUGAAAGCAGGGGAUCUUCGGACCUUGCGCGAUUGAAUGAGCCGAUGUCGGAUUAGCUAGUUGGCGGGGUAAAGGCCCACCAAGGCGACGAUCCGUAGCUGGUCUGAGAGGAUGAUCAGCCACACUGGAACUGAGACACGGUCCAGACUCCUACGGGAGGCAGCAGUGGGGAAUAUUGGACAAUGGGCGCAAGCCUGAUCCAGCCAUACCGCGUGGGUGAAGAAGGCCUUCGGGUUGUAAAGCCCUUUUGUUGGGAAAGAAAAGCAGCAGGUUAAUACCCCGCUGUUCUGACGGUACCCAAAGAAUAAGCACCGGCUAACUUCGUG